UUAGUAGAGUGGAAUGCCAAGCAAAUAUUUCAACGCUUCAAUAUAUUUCAUCACUGU
RNAcentral lists this microRNA precursor (57 nucleotides) under Ciona intestinalis (vase tunicate). RNAcentral's name for it is "microRNA cin-mir-4167 precursor". Lineage: Eukaryota; Metazoa; Chordata; Ascidiacea; Phlebobranchia; Cionidae. The record is from miRBase by way of RNAcentral.